UUUUUUUUUUUUUUUUUUUGGUUUACUUGUUGAAAGAGUUAUUACAACUACNACUAUAAUUAUAACUACAACUAUAACUAUAACUGCAACUAUAACUACAACGAUAAGAACUAUCACUACUCUGAAGACAACGAUGNGUUUUCUCAAGAUGAUAACGGAUCUAGCUUCGCCAUCAAUAAGUAUGAGACAAAGGAGUCCAUCUUUGAUGAAACAUCCAUUUUCCUGNUGNACAUUUUUGCAGGACAACUAGCCUGAGCACAAGAGACAUGGNGNACUAGACCUUGNGCGGAAUGNCUACUUCAAAACUUGCAUCUUUAUAUCUGAUAUAUAGAGAUAUAGAGAUAUAGAGAUAUAGAGAGAGGCUGAUGAUUUAUAAACACAAACGAUAAGACUUGUAACAUGAAGUUUGUCGAAAAAGUCAAUCUUUAAAUUCCUUUCUGAACCUCUCUGUUAUGUCAGNGCUUCGGUAUUAUGCUUUAAUGCAGUCACUUGAGGCGGUGGCCUAAUAGGNGCCAAGGUACCCGCAUAUUUAGUUUCAUGGUUGGGGAUUACUGGAGAACGACUGNGGAAGAGACCCAACCCGNAUCCGNGGUUUUUCCAAUUGGGGA
RNAcentral lists this small RNA (608 nucleotides) under Schizosaccharomyces pombe (fission yeast). RNAcentral's name for it is "small heterochromatic RNA precursor". The record is from RNAcentral. Lineage: Eukaryota; Fungi; Ascomycota; Schizosaccharomycetes; Schizosaccharomycetales; Schizosaccharomycetaceae.